AACUUGCUUGAUUUAUGAAGUCUGCAUUAUAUUCUCUGUCAAAGUUAAAAUCAGCAGAGGACUUUUAUAAGCACCUGAAAUCCCUUAGUUUUCUUUGACUUUCUUUUUGUGACUCAUAUACUUCAAUGUGCCUAUAAUGAGUUGCACACGUUAGUCGACCUAGUCACGUGAUUAUCACUAGCGACGCCCUUCUUAGCGUAGCGAGAGUGGUGGAUGUGGCACAUUGAGUAGUCGGAGAGUGGCUGGAAAAGUUUGAUGUAAAUACCAGUAACCUCCAAAUCCACUGCUCGCUUAGUUGUAGUUCCACAGGUGUCAUACCCGAGCGGCUGUAAGCCGUGCAGUUUUUCACAGUCACCGUCUGCGCAGAAGUCACGGACACAUCUCUCAGAAACAGUUAGGAAACGGCUGCGAGCUACGUUUUCACGGAGAUGGUUUGGUGAAUGGCAUCCAAUGCAAAGUAGCUAUGGUUUUCCAGAUUUGCCAGCUAGUGGAAAUGUGAUCAAGAUGACGAAGAAUGAAAAAGUAGGUGGCUGAGGCUCAACAGAUUUAAGGAUCCUGCUGGUGUUUCUGCUUCUUUCAAAAAAAUAUUCCAAGUCUGUUGUGUGAAAGAAGUUUAUUUGUCAAGGUUUGUUAUAAGGUCAUUUAAAAUGUCCAUUUCCUAAAAAAAUGACAGGAGUAAGUGACUGUGGGAGAUAUAACACAAGUAUUUAGUUUACAAAUGGACACCAUCACUUUUUCUGGAAAAGGACACUAAAAAUUCACAUUUUUAACCUUAAAGAUUUAGACAAGACUUAAGUCACAAGGAUCACUUUAAUUUGUGUGUUAGGUUCUUCUCUUUUCAUGACAAAUAUUAUCUACAGCCACUCAAAGCAUCCAGCAGGGAUCAACACCCACCUGACACCUUUAAUAGAAAGGACAGAAACAGAAAAUCCAGUUCUUCCUCAACUUUCUAAACAUAAUGCUUGUAGUAAAAGCCCAUUUGAUUUUAACUGGGCAUACUAAUGGUUUUAAAGGACAAAGCCAGUAAUUUAAUCAUAUUCCCCACACAGAGACUAAAACCAAAAGUGAAUUGCCUCUAUUCCCUAAUAAAGGUGGGAUUGGCAGUCCUGGAAAAACCAGCAAGAGAAAGCUUUAUUUUGAAAGAAGCCAACCAUAAAAAUUCCACCCUUUUGUUCUGACUUCUCUCCAAAGCCACUCCUCCAAAACACAAUGAUCACUGCCCGACUACUUACAGAUUUCAGGAAAAAAAUAAAUGCCUCCCAAACAAAACAAAACCAAUAAUUACCUGUCCACCACAAAUAUAACAUGCCAGCCUGGCUUUGCGGGAGACUCUCAGCUCACACACUGACUGCACAGCAGAGUGUGCACAAGUAGGAAGUAGGUCGACAGAAAGACCAUCCAAUGGUUUUUCUCAGCCCAAUUAAAAUUAUUGGUCAGGCUUUUAUCAGCCAUGCUGCCACAGAUGACAGGGUUUUUUCUUUAUGCUAUCAAUGCAUUUAAUGUAUUCACUGCCAUCAGGAUGAAAUGGAAAAAUUCAAGAAAUGUAACAAAAAUGCUUCUGUAAGGGGUCGCCAACCCUGCUUUUAAUGUCCUACAGUGUGUCAGUCCUGCGCCAUAGACCUCUAAUGAUGUAGAAAAGUGAAUAAAACACAGUGAAACACAGGCUGCACUGGGUGACAUGCUUCUCUUCUUACAAAGCUUAUGACCUAAAUAUUUCUUUCACACACAAAAAAAAAAAAAAAAA
Molecule: long non-coding RNA, 1744 nt
Organism: Monopterus albus (swamp eel)
Lineage: Eukaryota; Metazoa; Chordata; Actinopteri; Synbranchiformes; Synbranchidae
Exons: 3
Source: RefSeq, a predicted model, not a curated record